GAUGAACGCUGGCGGCGUGCCUAAUACAUGCAAGUCGAGCGAACAGAUGAGGAGCUUGCUCCUCUGACGUUAGCGGCGGACGGGUGAGUAACACGUGUAUAACCUACCUAUAAGACUGGGAUAACUUCGGGAAACCGGCGCUAAUACCGGAUAAUAUCUUGAACCGCAUGGUUCAAUAGUGAAAGACGGUUUUGCUGUCACUUAUAGAUGGAUCCGCGCCGCAUUAGCUAGUUGGUAAGUUAACGGCUUACCAAGGCGACGAUGCGUAGCCGACCUGAGAGGGGGAUCGGCCACACUGGAACUGAGACACGGUCCAGACUCCUACGGGAGGCAGCAGUAGGGAAUCUGCCGCAAUGGGCGAAAGCUUGACGGAGCAACGCCGCGUGAGUGAUGAAGGUCUUCGGAUCGUAAAACUCUGUUAUUAGGGAAGAACAAAUGUGUAAGUAACUAUGCACGUCUUGACGGUACCUAAUCAGAAAGCCACGGCUAACUACGUG
Molecule: ribosomal RNA, 497 nt
Filed under: uncultured bacterium
Lineage: Bacteria
Description: partial 16S ribosomal RNA
Rfam family: Bacterial small subunit ribosomal RNA
Source: RNAcentral